UGGUGGAGUGAUUUGUCUGGUUAAUUCCGAUAACGAACGAGACCUUAACCUGCUAAAUAGCCAGGCCGUCUUUGGAUGGUCGCCGGCUUCUUAGAGGGACUAUCAGUGUCUAACUGAUGGAAGUUUGAGGCAAUAACA
Molecule: ribosomal RNA, 138 nt
Filed under: uncultured eukaryote
Lineage: Eukaryota
Description: partial 18S ribosomal RNA
Rfam family: Eukaryotic small subunit ribosomal RNA
Source: RNAcentral